CUAGUAUAAGCAAUCUAUACGGUGAAACUGCGAAUGGCUCAUUAAAUCAGUUAUCGUUUAUUUGAUAGUACCUUACUACUUGGAUAACCGUGGUAAUUCUAGAGCUAAUACAUGCUAAAAGGCCCGACUUCGGAAGGGUCGUAUUUAUUAGAUAAAAAACCAAUGCCCUUCGGGGCUCCUUGGUGAUUCAUAAUAACUUAACGAAUCGCAUGGCCUUGUGCCGGCGAUGGUUCAUUCAAAUUUCUGCCCUAUCAACUUUCGAUGGUAGGAUAGUGGCCUACCAUGGUUUCAACGGGUAACGGGGAAUUAGGGUUCUAUUCCGGAGAGGGAGCCUGAGAAACGGCUACCACAUCCAAGGAAGGCAGCAGGCGCGCAAAUUACCCAAUCCCGACACGGGGAGGUAGUGACAAUAAAUACUGAUACAGGGCUCUUUUGGGUCUUGUAAUUGGAAUGAGUACAAUUUAAAUCCCUUAACGAGGAACAAUUGGAGGGCAAGUCUGGUGCCAGCAGCCGCGGUAAUUCCAGCUCCAAUAGCGUAUAUUAAAGUUGUUGCAGUUAAAAAGCUCGUAGUUGAACCUUGGGCCUGGCUGGCCGGUCCGCCUCACCGCGUGCACUGGUCCGGCCGGGUCUUUCCUUCUGGGGAGCUGCAUGCCCUUCACUGGGUGUGUCAGGGAACCAGGACUUUUACUUUGAAAAAAUUAGAGUGUUCAAAGCAGGCCUAUGCUCGAAUACAUUAGCAUGGAAUAAUAGAAUAGGACGUGUGGUUCUAUUUUGUUGGUUUCUAGGACCGCCGUAAUGAUUAAUAGGGAUAGUCGGGGGCAUCAGUAUUCAAUUGUCAGAGGUGAAAUUCUUGGAUUUAUUGAAGACUAACUACUGCGAAAGCAUUUGCCAAGGAUGUUUUCAUUAAUCAGUGAACGAAAGUUAGGGGAUCGAAGACGAUCAGAUACCGUCGUAGUCUUAACCAUAAACUAUGCCGACU
RNAcentral lists this ribosomal RNA (979 nucleotides) under Helotiales sp. Its description in RNAcentral is "SSU rRNA". It matches the Rfam family "Eukaryotic small subunit ribosomal RNA", at positions 60 to 1047 of the family's 1831-position model. The record is from RNAcentral. Lineage: Eukaryota; Fungi; Ascomycota; Leotiomycetes; Helotiales.